UGUUAUGGGCGGGCCGGGCGGGAGGGCGCAAGCCCUGCCGGUGCCGACUACCGGUCGACCAACCCGCUCGGCUCCGCCCACCCUC
Non-coding RNA from Thauera chlorobenzoica, 85 nucleotides. Lineage: Bacteria; Pseudomonadati; Pseudomonadota; Betaproteobacteria; Rhodocyclales; Zoogloeaceae. The record is from Rfam.